UACGUAGGGGGCGAGCGUUGUCCGGAAUCAUUGGGCGUAAAGCGCGUGUAGGCGGCCCGGAAAGUCUGGUGUGAAAUCUUGAGGCUCAACCUUAAGCUGUCACUGGAUACUGUCGGGCUUGAGUCCGGAAGAGGAGAGUGGAAUUCCUGGUGUAGCGGUGGAAUGCGCAGAUAUCGGGAAGAACACCAGUGGCGAAAGCGCUCUACUGGGCCAUAACUGACACUGAGGGACGAAAGCUAGGGGAGCGAACGGG
RNAcentral lists this ribosomal RNA (253 nucleotides) under uncultured bacterium. RNAcentral describes it as "partial 16S ribosomal RNA". It matches the Rfam family "Bacterial small subunit ribosomal RNA", at positions 524 to 776 of the family's 1533-position model. The record is from RNAcentral.